GUGCUUGCUUUGGCAGCAUAUAUACUAAAAUUGGAACAAUACAGAGAUUAGCAUGGCCUCUGUGCGAGGAUGACAUGCGAAUUCAUGAAGAAUUCCAUAUUUUU
RNAcentral lists this small nuclear RNA (104 nucleotides) under Spermophilus dauricus (Daurian ground squirrel). The record is from RNAcentral. Lineage: Eukaryota; Metazoa; Chordata; Mammalia; Rodentia; Sciuridae.